Molecule: ribosomal RNA, 465 nt
Filed under: uncultured bacterium
Lineage: Bacteria
Description: partial 16S ribosomal RNA
Rfam family: Bacterial small subunit ribosomal RNA
Source: RNAcentral
GACGAACGCUGGCGGCGUGCUUAACACAUGCAAGUCGUACGGUAAGGCCCUUUCGGGGGUACACGAGUGGCGAACGGGUGAGUAACACGUGAGUAACCUGCCCACAACUUUGGGAUAACGCUAGGAAACUGGUGCUAAUACUGGAUAUGUGCUCCUGCUGCAUGGUGGGGGUUGGAAAGCUCCGGCGGUUGUGGAUGGACUCGCGGCCUAUCAGCUUGUUGGUGGGGUAGUGGCCUACCAAGGCGGCGACGGGUAGCCGGCCUGGGAGGGUGACCGGCCACAUUGGGACUGAGAUACGGCCCAGACUCCUACGGGAGGCAGCAGUGGGGAAUAUUGCACAAUGGGCGCAAGCCGGAUGCAGCAACGCCGCGUGCGGGAUGACGGCCUUCGGGUUGUAAACCGCUUUCAGCAGGGACGAAGCUUUUUGUGACGGUACCUGCAGAAGAAGCACCGGCUAACUACGUG